CGCUAAGUAGCUAAACCGGCCCAAAGCGUUAGCCUUUUAAGCUAAAAACUGGUGACUGCCCCCCACCCUCAGCGA
RNAcentral lists this transfer RNA (75 nucleotides) under Psettodes erumei (Indian spiny turbot). RNAcentral describes it as "tRNA-Lys". It matches the Rfam family "tRNA". Rfam says of the family: Transfer RNA (tRNA) molecules are approximately 80 nucleotides in length. Their secondary structure includes four short double-helical elements and three loops (D, anti-codon, and T loops). RNAcentral also lists the same sequence under 1 other name. The record is from RNAcentral. Lineage: Eukaryota; Metazoa; Chordata; Actinopteri; Pleuronectiformes; Psettodidae.